RNAcentral lists this ribosomal RNA (466 nucleotides) under uncultured bacterium. Its description in RNAcentral is "partial 16S ribosomal RNA". It matches the Rfam family "Bacterial small subunit ribosomal RNA", at positions 28 to 506 of the family's 1533-position model. The record is from RNAcentral.
GACGAACGCUGGCGGCGUGCUUAACACAUGCAAGUCGAACGGAAAGGCCUCUUUCGGGGGGUACUCGAGUGGCGAACGGGUGAGUAACACGUGAGUAACCUGCCCUUGACUUUGGGAUAACUUCAGGAAACUGGGGCUAAUACCGGAUAGGAGCUCCUGCUGCAUGGUGGGGGUUGGAAAGUUUCGGCGGUUGGGGAUGGACUCGCGGCUUAUCAGCUUGUUGGUGGGGUAGUGGCUUACCAAGGCUUUGACGGGUAGCCGGCCUGAGAGGGUGACCGGCCACAUUGGGACUGAGAUACGGCCCAGACUCCUACGGGAGGCAGCAGUGGGGAAUAGUGCACAAUGGGUGGAAGCCUGAUGCAGCAACGCCGUGUGCGGGAUGACGGCCUUCGGGUUGUAAACCGCUUUCGCUCAUGACGAAGCUUUGUGUGACGGUAGUGGGUAAAGAAGCACCGGCUAACUACGU